GACGAAGGAUGCAAGCGUUAUCCGGAUUCAUUGGGUUUAAAGGGAGCGUAGGUGGCCUUAUAAGUCAGUGGUGAAAUAUGGCAGCUCAACUGUCAAGGUGCCAUUGAUACUGCGGAGCUUGAGUACAGAUGAGGUAGGCGGAAUUGACGGUGUAGCGGUGAAAUGCUUAGAUAUCGUCAAGAACACCUAUAGCGAAGGCAGCUUACUAGGCUGUAACUGACGCUGAGGCACGAAAGUGUGGGGAUCAAACAGG
Molecule: ribosomal RNA, 253 nt
Filed under: uncultured bacterium
Lineage: Bacteria
Description: partial 16S ribosomal RNA
Rfam family: Bacterial small subunit ribosomal RNA
Source: RNAcentral